This 434-nucleotide ribosomal RNA is filed under the name uncultured Ruminococcus sp. Its description in RNAcentral is "partial 16S ribosomal RNA". It matches the Rfam family "Bacterial small subunit ribosomal RNA", at positions 341 to 792 of the family's 1533-position model. Lineage: Bacteria; Bacillati; Bacillota; Clostridia; Eubacteriales; Oscillospiraceae. The record is from RNAcentral.
ACGGGAGGCAGCGGUGGGGAAUAUUGCACAAUGGGGGAAACCCUGAUGUAGCGAUGCCGCGUGGAGGAAGAAGGUUUUCGGAUUGUAAACUCCUGUCUUAAAGGACGAUAAUGACGGUACUUUAGGAGGAAGCUCCGGCUAACUACGUGCCAGCAGCCGCGGUAAUACGUAGGGAGCGAGCGUUGUCCGGAAUUACUGGGUGUAAAGGGAGCGUAGGCGGGAUUGCAAGUCAGAUGUGAAAACUAUGGGCUUAACCCAUAGACUGCAUUUGAAACUGUAGUUCUUGAGUGAAGUAGAGGUAAGCGGAAUUCCUGGUGUAGCGGUGAAAUGCGUAGAUAUCAGGAGGAACACCGGUGGCGAAGGCGGCUUACUGGGCUUUUACUGACGCUGAGGCUCGAAAGCGUGGGGAGCAAACAGGAUUAGAUACCCUGGUA